GAUGAACGCUGGCGGCGUGCUUAACACAUGCAAGUCGAACGGUGAAGCAGGAGCUUGCUCUUGUGGAUCAGUGGCGAACGGGUGAGUAACACGUGAGCAACCUGCCCCUGACUCUGGGAUAAGCGCUGGAAACGGCGUCUAAUACUGGAUAUGUGAUGUGACCGCAUGGUCUGCAUCUGGAAAGAAUUUCGGUUGGGGAUGGGCUCGCGGCCUAUCAGCUUGUUGGUGAGGCAAUGGCUCACCAAGGCGUCGACGGGUAGCCGGCCUGAGAGGGUGACCGGCCACACUGGGACUGAGACACGGCCCAGACUCCUACGGGAGGCAGCAGUGGGGAAUAUUGCACAAUGGGCGGAAGGCUGAUGCAGCAACGCCGCGUGAGGGAUGACGGCCUUCGGGUUGUAAACUUCUUUUAGCAGGGAAGAAGCGAAAGUGACGGUACCUGCAGAAAAAGCACCGGCUAACUACGUGCCAGCAGCCGCCGUAA
Molecule: ribosomal RNA, 484 nt
Filed under: uncultured bacterium
Lineage: Bacteria
Description: partial 16S ribosomal RNA
Rfam family: Bacterial small subunit ribosomal RNA
Source: RNAcentral